Molecule: long non-coding RNA, 359 nt
Organism: Cervus elaphus (red deer)
Lineage: Eukaryota; Metazoa; Chordata; Mammalia; Artiodactyla; Cervidae
Exons: 3
Source: RefSeq, a predicted model, not a curated record
GAAACACCAAUAGCUCUGCAGCCUAAUCCCAAAGAGACAGACUGAUCUCAUCCCGCAUUUGAUGUCCUGAGAAAUAUCUACUGGUCUAUAAAACUUUUCGCCAGCUGCAACAGAGAAAAUCUGUCAGUUGUUUAGGUCUUCAGAAAGGAAUAUGGCCCCACUGACAUCUUCAUUUUAGACCAAUGAGACCAUUUCAGAUUUCUAACCUCCAGAAUGUUGUCCCUUGAACAGAGUGCCAGACAUCCUUGAGUGUGAACUCAAGCAUCACUAUGAACAAAGCUAGUGGAAGUGAUGGAAUUCCAGCUGAGCUCUUUCAAAUCCUAGAAGAUGAUGCUGUGAAAGUGCUGCACUCAAUAUGC